Molecule: long non-coding RNA, 1699 nt
Filed under: Marmota monax (woodchuck)
Lineage: Eukaryota; Metazoa; Chordata; Mammalia; Rodentia; Sciuridae
Source: RNAcentral
AAGGUUGGCAGCUCCACUGUCCCCAGGCUGGCCCGCUGGGGGAGCCAUCUCAGGUGUCUGCACACCUCAGGCCCCACUCCCUUCACUGUAGGCGCCAGCCCUUGCAGAGGCCUCCACCCACAGGCAGAGGUGGCGCAUCCUACCACCCCCAAGCUCCCCUCCGGCCGCGGUCCCUUUGGGAGGUGCUCCCCCCAGCCCCAGGACUGCACUGGUAUCCUGGAGGGGGCGCACACCUCUCCUAGAGCAGACGGCAGCUGCCCUCCGUGCGGUCCAGCCUCACCCCCGGCUCUGGCCACAGCACUGCCUGGUUCAGCUUGUGGCCAGCUUGUGCCCCCCAGCCCCCCAGCCAGCUCCUGCCUUCUGCUCUAAGGACCGGCUCUGAGGCAGAAGCGAGUCAGGUCUUGUACUGUGCAUCUGAACCAGCUUGGGGACAGCUGGCCCCCGCUCCUCUCAGGGGCUGACACCAGGUGGGUCUGGUCUUCCCAGGUCCUAGUCCAGCCCCGCACAUGCUGCCGAGUGUCCACCCGCUUCCCGUUUGCCCAGGACCUGUUCCAGGCCAGGACGGCAGCAGCCCUGGUUCCAUACCUGGCACCAGCCAUCACGGGUGGUCUGAAUGGCCCCUCCAGGACCUGUCCGAUUGCCCUUGUGACCUGCUUGACCCAGGGCUGACACCAGAAGCUGUCUCUGGCUGACACUGGAAAGGGCGAGUCCCUGGCUUCUCUUGCAGCUCCACGACAGGGUACAAAUGAUGCUUUUGUCUUAUUAAAAAGUCACCAUGGGCCCUGAGGGAGGCUGGCUGCUCCAAAGGAAUGGUGGACAGGCCCCAUGUGGCAUGAAGCAGCUCCAGAACCCACCGGGAGUGAUCGCAGGGUGCGAGUGCGCCUCCUCCCAGCAAGAGCUGCUGCCCCCUGGGAGCCACCCCACACUCCAGGAUGCACACCCUGCGUCCUGGCUUGUCCAGCCAAGGGAACUGGGCUCUGGCUGAGCGUAGCUCCUCCCCCUCCUGGCCUCCCAUCACCCCAGAGCCCACGGCCCUGCUGCCCUAAGGCUGCACGUCAGGCCCCACCCACGGCUCCCCUCCAGGUGUCCAAGAUCUCAGACCCUCACAGGCUUUUGCCCCCUGGCAGUGCUGAUGACCUUGGUGGGUUGUCACGAGCCAUCCAUGGGUGUGUGUGUGUGUAGACUAUUGCCCACAGUAGCCAAAUGAGGGGACAGGCCUGGCAGUGCGAGCUCCCUGUCAGGAGUGAUCGCAGGGUGCAGGUGCGCCUCCUCCUCCAGCUCUGCCUAAGAUCCCACACAGCACCUGAGAUGGGUGGGACUGGCCAAGAUGUCAAUCCAUCUGCUGGCCACAAGACAUCAUGAAGCAAGACUCCACCCUUGAAACCCUAUCCUUGCCUCUGAUGUUCCCACCAUAAAAUAAACCCACCAUGGGCUCAAGCCCUCUUUGAAGCGUGGAAGCUGACCCUUGAGGUCAAAGAGCCGUCCCGCCCCUGAUUUGAAAGUUAUGUCUGUGUUGGGUGAUUUCUCGCCACCGCCUUCUAAGCUUAAUGUUGCUGCCAGCCCUGGCUGCAGUGGAGAGUGGGUGGCCGUGCUAAGGCUCGGGAAGUAGUGAGCAUUUUAAAUGCAACUUCUCUGGAAGUAAUUCUUCAACCAACCAAGGAAUGUACUCAAAAUAAUGAAAAAACCAGCACAGACACUU